CCUACGGGUGGCAGCAGUGGGGAAUAUUGGACAAUGGGCGAAAGCCUGAUCCAGCCAUGCCGCGUGUGUGAAGAAGGCCUUCGGGUUGUAAAGCACUUUCAGUGGGGAAGAAAGCCUUGGGGCUAAUACCCUCGAGGAAGGACAUCACCCACAGAAGAAGCACCGGCUAACUCCGUGCCAGCAGCCGCGGUAAUACGGAGGGUGCGAGCGUUAAUCGGAAUUACUGGGCGUAAAGCGCGCGUAGGCGGUCUGAUAAGCCGGUUGUGAAAGCCCCGGGCUCAACCUGGGAACGGCAUCCGGAACUGUCAGGCUAGAGUGCAGGAGAGGAAGGUAGAAUUCCCGGUGUAGCGGUGAAAUGCGUAGAGAUCGGGAGGAAUACCAGUGGCGAAGGCGGCCUUAUGGACUGACACUGACGCUGAGGUGCGAAAGCGUGGGUAGCAAACAGGAUUAGAUACCCUGGUAGUC
Molecule: ribosomal RNA, 465 nt
Filed under: Vreelandella stevensii
Lineage: Bacteria; Pseudomonadati; Pseudomonadota; Gammaproteobacteria; Oceanospirillales; Halomonadaceae
Description: partial 16S ribosomal RNA
Rfam family: Bacterial small subunit ribosomal RNA
Source: RNAcentral